Molecule: non-coding RNA, 736 nt
Organism: Python bivittatus (Burmese python)
Lineage: Eukaryota; Metazoa; Chordata; Lepidosauria; Squamata; Pythonidae
Source: RefSeq, a predicted model, not a curated record
GCAGAAGCAGCCAACUGCUCCAUAUUUGCCUUCUAUUACACAUUUACAUACUGGAGAAGAGAGGAGCGAGCUUCUACACCGCAGACAUCAUUUCUAUUACAGUUGGUGAGGAAGCAACUGUAUCAUACCGAAGGGGAAGAGAAAUAAAUUAUUUUUUUUUAAAAAAAGCAAAAAAAAAAAAAAAGCCCAAGCCCUUGAGAUCAGCUGGCAAGUUUUGUUUUUUUUUUCCGGUCCGUCUUCCCCACACCCCAGUCUCCACUGACACUUUAUACAAUUUUCAAUCACAGACACAUCAAGCUAAAGAGACAAUCUAAGCACUGAAUUUUUUCUUCACCUCUCCAAGACAACUGCAGCAACAAAUUUUACCUUUCCUUAAAAGGUGCUCUUUUUCCCUAAAUAAGAAAACUGUAGCACAAAAGUGGAUAUUUGAGGCCUAAGAAGACUUUUUAUUAAAUGAAAGUAGGACAACUUUAUAUUCAGAUCUUUAAUUGAGGACUAUGCCAUCCUGAUGCCUACCAUAAUUCCUUGAACUAAAAUGGACUCCUUUAAACAAGCAUAAGAUUUGAUUAUGCUGACCAAGGAUAGUGGAAGUUGUAGAACAACAUGAGAUCACAUCCUGGGGCACAAUGAAAGAGUUUUAAUGCACAGACUUCACAAAAAAGUUCAGCAGCAAGUAGUACAAGGGACACAAAAGAAAGAUAUUACUAGAGCACUUUGGAACACUCCUGGCAUUUGA